This 683-nucleotide ribosomal RNA is filed under the name uncultured bacterium. RNAcentral's name for it is "bacterial SSU rRNA". It matches the Rfam family "Bacterial small subunit ribosomal RNA", at positions 614 to 1301 of the family's 1533-position model. The record is from RNAcentral.
UGUAAAAUUGCCUUUGAAACUGGUGGUCUUGAGUACAGUUGAGGUGGGCGGAAUGUGUCAUGUAGCGGUGAAAUGCUUAGAUAUGAUACAGAACACCGAUUGCGGAGGCAGCUCACUAAACUGUAACUGACGCUGAGGCACGAAAGCGUGGGGAGCGAACAGGAUUAGAUACCCUGGUAGUCCACGCCCUAAACGUUGAAUACUCGUUGUUGGCGAUAUACAGUCAGCGACUAAGCGAAAGCAUUAAGUAUUCCACCUGGGGAGUACGACCGCAAGGUUGAAACUCAAAGGAAUUGACGGGGGCCCGCACAAGCGGAGGAGUAUGUGGUUUAAUUCGAUGAUACGCGAGGAACCUUACCUGGGCUUGAAAGUUAGUGACCGCUGCCGAAAGGUGGCUUCCCUUCGGGGCACGAAACUAGGUGCUGCACGGCUGUCGUCAGCUCGUGCCGUGAGGUGUUGGGUUAAGUCCCGCAACGAGCGCAACCCCUAUCUUUAGUUACCAUCAGGUUAAGCUGGGCACACUAGAGAGACUGCCUUCGUAAGAAGUGAGGAAGGUGGGGACGACGUCAAGUCAUCAUGGCCCUUACGUCCAGGGCUACACACGUACUACAAUGGCGGGUACAAUGAGUUGCCACUUGGCAACAAGGAGCCAAUCUCAAAAAACCCGCAUCAGUUCGGAUUGG